UGGGGUCAUAGGGUAGCCUGGUCCAUCCUCGUGGCUUUGGGAGCCAUGGACCCCGGUUCAAAUCCGGGUGACCCCAU
RNAcentral lists this transfer RNA (77 nucleotides) under archaeon BMS3Bbin16. Its description in RNAcentral is "tRNA-Pro". It matches the Rfam family "tRNA". From Rfam's summary of the family: Transfer RNA (tRNA) molecules are approximately 80 nucleotides in length. Their secondary structure includes four short double-helical elements and three loops (D, anti-codon, and T loops). The record is from RNAcentral. RNAcentral also lists the same sequence under 1 other name.